RNAcentral lists this long non-coding RNA (261 nucleotides) under Capsicum annuum. Its description in RNAcentral is "long non-coding RNA (CANN_LNC000779)". The record is from RNAcentral. Lineage: Eukaryota; Viridiplantae; Streptophyta; Magnoliopsida; Solanales; Solanaceae.
GUUGAAGCACUUUCCCUUGAAUUUCUUCUUGGGUUGAUUGAUUCCUUGUUCAACUUUCUUCUUUUUCUUAGAAUUGUUUUGGUCAUCUUCUACAAUAUGUGCUUCAUUAAUUAUAAAAUUCCCUUUUGACCUUCUCUCGGAAGCCUUAUUAUCCUCUUUAAUACGCAGUCGGACAAUAAGAUCUUCAACAGUCAUCUCCUUGCGUUUGUGCUUCAAGUAGUUUUUGAAGUCUUUCCACAUAAGUGGUAGCUUCUCAAUGAU